GAUGAACGCUAGCGGCAGGCCUAACACAUGCAAGUCGAGGGGCAGCACAGGUAGCAAUACUGGGUGGCGACCGGCGGAUGGGUGCGUAACGCGUAUGCAACCUACCAUUGAUUGGGGCAUAGCCCGAAGAAAUUCGGAUUAAUACUCCAUAAUAUUCAUCAAAGGCAUCUUUUAUGAAUUAAAGCUUUUGCGAUCAAUGAUGGGCAUGCGUGACAUUAGUUAGUUGGUGAGGUAACGGCUCACCAAAACGAUGAUGUCUAGGGGUUCUGAGAGGAUUAUCCCCCACACUGGUACUGAGACACGGACCAGACUCCUACGGGAGGCAGCAGUGAGGAAUAUUGGUCAAUGGACGCAAGUCUGAACCAGCCAUGCCGCGUGCAGGAUGACGGCCCUAUGGGUUGUAAACUGCUUUUCCACGGAAGAACCCUCCGACGUGUCGGAGACUGACGGUACCGUGGGAAUAAGCAUCGGCUAACUCCGUG
Molecule: ribosomal RNA, 482 nt
Filed under: uncultured bacterium
Lineage: Bacteria
Description: bacterial SSU rRNA
Rfam family: Bacterial small subunit ribosomal RNA
Source: RNAcentral